This 442-nucleotide ribosomal RNA is filed under the name bacterium CPTAC15B. Its description in RNAcentral is "bacterial SSU rRNA". It matches the Rfam family "Bacterial small subunit ribosomal RNA", at positions 954 to 1394 of the family's 1533-position model. The record is from RNAcentral.
UUUGAACGCGAAGAACCUUACCAGGUCUUGACAUCCUCUGACAACCCUAGAGAUAGGGCUUUCCCCUUCGGGGGACAGAGUGACAGUGUGGUGCAUGGUUGUCGUCAGCUCGUGUCGUGAGAUGUUGGGUUAAGUCCCGCAACGAGCGCAACCCUUGACCUUAGUUGCCAGCAUUCAGUUGGGCACUCUAAGGUGACUGCCGGUGACAAACCGGAGGAAGGUGGGGAUGACGUCAAAUCAUCAUGCCCCUUAUGACCUGGGCUACACACGUGCUACAAUGGAUGGUACAAAGGGUCUGCAAGACCGCGAGGUUUAGCCAAUCCCAUAAAACCAUUCUCAGUUCGGAUUGUAGGCUGCAACUCGCCUACAUGAAGCCGGAAUCGCUAGUAAUCGCGGAUCAGCAUGCCGCGGUGAAUACGUUCCCGGGUCUUGUACACACGCA